Molecule: ribosomal RNA, 497 nt
Filed under: uncultured bacterium
Lineage: Bacteria
Description: partial 16S ribosomal RNA
Rfam family: Bacterial small subunit ribosomal RNA
Source: RNAcentral
GAUGAACGCUGGCGGCGUGCCUAAUACAUGCAAGUCGAGCGGACAGACGAGGAGCUUGCUCCUCUGACGUUAGCGGCGGACGGGUGAGUAACACGUGGAUAACCUACCUAUAAGACUGGGAUAACUUCGGGAAACCGGAGCUAAUACCGGAUAAUAUAUUGAACCGCAUGGUUCAAUAGUGAAAGACGGUUUUGCUGUCACUUAUAGAUGGAUCCGCGCCGCAUUAGCUAGUUGGUAAGGUAACGGCUUACCAAGGCAACGAUGCGUAGCCGACCUGAGAGGGUGAUCGGCCACACUGGAACUGAGACACGGUCCAGACUCCUACGGGAGGCAGCAGUAGGGAAUCUUCCGCAAUGGGCGAAAGCCUGACGGAGCAACGCCGCGUGAGUGAUGAAGGUCUUCGGAUCGUAAAACUCUGUUAUUAGGGAAGAACAAAUGUGUAAGUAACUAUGCACGUCUUGACGGUACUUAAUCAGAAAGCCACGGCUAACUACGUG